GAUGAAGAACGCAGCGAAAUGCGAUAAGUAAUGUGAAUUGCAGAAUUCCGUGAAUCAUCGAAUCUUUGAACGCACAUUGCGCCCUCUGGUAUUCCGGGGGGCAUGCCUGUCCGAGCGUCAUUGCAAACCCUCAAGCCCGGCUUGCGUGAUGGGUCGCAUCGUCCCCGAAGGCCCUCCGGGGCGGGUGGGACGGGCCCGAAAGGCAGCGGCGGCGUCGCGGUCAUCCGAUCAGCCCAAGCGUAUGGGGACAUCCGUCACACGCUAGGGGCGCUGACCGACGCCCGCCUGGAACGUCACACUUCUCAAGGUUUGACCUCGGAUCAGGUAGGGAUACCCGCUGAACUUAAGCAUAUCAAUAAGCGGAGGA
Molecule: unclassified non-coding RNA, 367 nt
Filed under: soil metagenome
Description: partial contains 5.8S ribosomal RNA, internal transcribed spacer 2, and large subunit ribosomal RNA
Rfam family: 5.8S ribosomal RNA (bases 1-120)
Source: RNAcentral